RNAcentral lists this ribosomal RNA (449 nucleotides) under uncultured bacterium. RNAcentral's name for it is "bacterial SSU rRNA". It matches the Rfam family "Bacterial small subunit ribosomal RNA", at positions 329 to 795 of the family's 1533-position model. The record is from RNAcentral.
UUCCAGACUCCUACGGGAGGCAGCAGUGGGGAAUAUUGCACAAUGGGGGAAACCCUGAUGCAGCGACGCCGCGUGAGCGAUGAAGUAUUUCGGUAUGUAAAGCUCUAUCAGCAGGGAAGAAGAUGACGGUACCUGACUAAGAAGCCCCGGCUAACUACGUGCCAGCAGCCGCGGUAAUACGUAGGGGGCAAGCGUUAUCCGGAUUUACUGGGUGUAAAGGGAGCGUAGACGGCGAUGCAAGCCAGAUGUGAAAGCCCGGGGCUCAACCCCGGGACUGCAUUUGGAACUGUGUGGCUGGAGUGUCGGAGAGGCAGGCGGAAUUCCUAGUGUAGCGGUGAAAUGCGUAGAUAUUAGGAGGAACACCAGUGGCGAAGGCGGCCUGCUGGACGAUGACUGACGUUGAGGCUCGAAAGCGUGGGGAGCAAACAGGAUUAGAUACCCUCGUAAUA